GCAGAGUAGAAACCAAUGCGUCAAGUGCCGACCGGACGGGGAGUUGCCGGGCGGACGAAAAGGAUUCCUUGCGGUAUUGGUUUCGCAUCCCGCUGC
RNAcentral lists this non-coding RNA (96 nucleotides) under Candidatus Anaerotruncus excrementipullorum. Its description in RNAcentral is "THF riboswitch". It matches the Rfam family "THF (Tetrahydrofolate) riboswitch aptamer". Rfam says of the family: THF riboswitch presents a pseudoknot that joins P1-P2 and the loop of P3 and two THF binding. Lineage: Bacteria; Bacillati; Bacillota; Clostridia; Eubacteriales; Oscillospiraceae. The record is from RNAcentral.